GUUGAACGCUGGCGGCGUGCCUAAUACAUGCAAGUCGAGCGAACAGACGAGGAGCUUGCUCCUCUGACGUUAGCGGCGGACGGGUGAGUAACACGUGGAUAACCUACCUAUAAGACUGGGAUAACUUCGGGAAACCGGAGCUAAUACCGGAUAAUAUAUUGAACCGCAUGGUUCAAUAGUGAGAGACGGUUUUGCUGUCACUUAUAGAUGGAUCCGCGCCGCAUUAGCUAGUUGGUAAGGUAACGGCUUACCAAGGCAACGAUGCGUAGCCGACCUGAGAGGGUGAUCGGCCACACUGGAACUGAGACACGGUCCAGACUCCUACGGGAGGCAGCAGUAGGGAAUCUUCCGCAAUGGGCGAAAGCCUGACGGAGCAACGCCGCGUGAGUGAUGAAGGUCUUCGGAUCGUAAAACUCUGUUAUUAGGGAAGAACAAAUGUGUAAGUAACUAUGCACGUCUUGACGGUACCUAAUCAGAAAGCCACGGCUAACUACGUG
RNAcentral lists this ribosomal RNA (497 nucleotides) under uncultured bacterium. RNAcentral describes it as "partial 16S ribosomal RNA". It matches the Rfam family "Bacterial small subunit ribosomal RNA", at positions 28 to 507 of the family's 1533-position model. The record is from RNAcentral.